UCCGGUUUAUCACCGGCAGUCUCCAUAGAGUUCUCGCCUUUACGCGUUAGUAACUAUGAAUAAGGGUUGCGCUCGUUGCGGGACUUAACCCAACAUCUCUCUUGCGAGCACUCCUACAUCUCUGCGGGAUUCUAGCGGAUUUAACCCAGGUAAGGUUUUGCGCGUUGCGUCGAAUUAAACCACAUGCUCCACCGCUUGUGCGGGCCCCCGUCAAUUCCUUUGAGUUUCAGCCUUGCGGCCGUACUCCCCAGGCGGGGCACUUACUGCGUUAGCGACGGCACUCAGAGGGUCGCUCCCCCAAGCACCUAGUGCCCAUCGUUUACGGCGUGGACUAC
RNAcentral lists this unclassified non-coding RNA (335 nucleotides) under uncultured bacterium. Its description in RNAcentral is "contains 16S-23S intergenic spacer region". The record is from RNAcentral.